UUUUUUUUAUUUGGACCAGUAGUUCCUGAGUUCAAAACAAGCACGCUUCGGUUUUAUAAUAUUAUUAUAGAUUUCAAGUUUUACAUAUAAAUAUAUAGAAUUAAAUAGUUUCUUUGUUCAUUUUUACGAAUUUAUUUAAGAAACUGUCAGAAAAAAAAUACUGAAAUCUUGAGUCAAAUUUUGUUUUAAUUCACUGAUAUUUAUGUAAAUAAAUUAGAAAAUUAGA
This 226-nucleotide unclassified non-coding RNA is filed under the name Melitaea cinxia (Glanville fritillary). RNAcentral describes it as "misc RNA ENSMCXG00005000357.1". Lineage: Eukaryota; Metazoa; Arthropoda; Insecta; Lepidoptera; Nymphalidae. The record is from RNAcentral.